Molecule: non-coding RNA, 156 nt
Filed under: Barnesiella viscericola
Lineage: Bacteria; Pseudomonadati; Bacteroidota; Bacteroidia; Bacteroidales; Barnesiellaceae
Source: RNAcentral
GGGGCGUAGAAUGAAAAGGGAAUCGGGUGAGAAUCCCGAACAGUCCCGCUGCUGUAAGCUCCUGUACAGGUGCCGAGAAUACUUGAAAGCCACUGAUUAUGACGAUUGGGAAGGCCUCGGUUACCGGAGUAAGUCAGAAGACCUGCCAUGCGUUGU